AUGGACAUCCCCGACCACCUCCUCGAACAGAUCUUCCUCCGCCUGCCCGACCUGGCCGAUCUCGCCCGCGCCUCCGCGGCCUGCGUCUCCUUCCGCCGACUCGCCAUUGACGGAUCCUUCCCCCGCAGAUUCUGCCGCCUCCACGCACCACUGCUUCUUGGCUUCCUCGAUCCGGACGGGUACCACCCAGCCCUGCCGCCUAACCACUCCGCGCCCGCGGCCUGCGCGCUCACCCUCGCCGCUGACUUCUCCUUCGCCUUCCUCCCUUCCCACUGCCGCUGGACCGUCCAGGACGUCCGCGACGGCCGCGUCCUCCUCAACCGCGGCCCCAGAGAAGAUGAGCGGUCUCCGGUCUUCCGCGAGCUCGCGGUGUGCGACCCCUUGCACCGGCGGUACGUCCUGCUCCCCCCGGUACCUCACGACCUAGCCGCUUCGCUUGAGCACUCGUUCCCCAUGGCCCGCGAUGUGCGGUGCAAGCCCUUCCUCAUUCCCCUCGGCGUGGAGGAGGCAGCGGCGGGAGAGACAACAUUCAGAGUCAUCUUGAUGGCACAGUGCGAAACUAGUCUGUCUGCCUUCAUCUUCUCUUCGAGCACCGGACAAUGGCAAACUAUUGCAUCCAAGGAUUUGAGUGAUUUGGGCCUUGAUAGGUUCGAGUCGAUCACCAUGUCACAUGGCCCCAUUUCUUGUCAGAGGCGCCAUUAUGCUUAUGGCCGCUUCUACUGGGACUGGGCUGUGAUAAGCAUAAAUAAGUUGCUCGUGUUUGACACCAUGAGGAUGGAAUUCUCUGUUGCUGACCUCCCACCUGGAGAUUGGACUGGGCAAGGUUUAGUCUUUGUGGAGGCAGGGGAAGGCAGGCUUGGGAUGUUUGGUUUCGAUGGUGAAUUUGCAUCUCAUCUCAGCUAUACCAUUGCGCAAAACGAAAGCGGGAGUCCUAGCCAGUGGCAGGUGGAGAAGUCAAUCUCACUAGAUUCUAGGUACAAAUAUCUUAUCAGAGAUGCAACACAGAAGUACUUGCUCUUCACAAGGAGAAAAACCUCACCUCUAGAGAAGUUACUCUUUGAAUAUUUCUCACUGGAUGUCAAGACGAUGCAGCUUCAGAUGGUUUGUGCAAAGCAAUGCACGCUUCAUACACUCAUAUACACCAACUUCCCACCAUCGUUGUUGUCUUUGCCGACAAUAUGA
RNAcentral lists this ribosomal RNA (1182 nucleotides) under Triticum aestivum (bread wheat). RNAcentral's name for it is "partial small subunit ribosomal RNA". The record is from RNAcentral. Lineage: Eukaryota; Viridiplantae; Streptophyta; Magnoliopsida; Poales; Poaceae.